AAGUCGUAACAAGGUUUCCGUAGGUGAACCUGCGGAAGGAUCAUUACACACUGCGCCAUGCUUGCAGAUGUUCGCAUUUGCAGGUAUAGCCAGCUAACCCUUGUCUAUUUCUACCAUUUGUGAAUCCCUCGGCGGGGACGCCUGUCGCUGGGACCCUAAACUCUACUGUAUAAAAAGUAUCAAACCUUUCUGAACCUAAUUAAAAUUAUUACAACUUUCAACAAUGGAUCUCUUGGUUCUG
Molecule: unclassified non-coding RNA, 241 nt
Filed under: Dictyosporium hughesii
Lineage: Eukaryota; Fungi; Ascomycota; Dothideomycetes; Pleosporales; Dictyosporiaceae
Also listed under: 2 other names
Description: partial internal transcribed spacer region
Rfam family: Eukaryotic small subunit ribosomal RNA (bases 1-46)
Source: RNAcentral